UUGGAGGGCAAGUCUGGUGCCAGCAGCCGCGGUAAUUCCAGCUCCAAUAGCGUAUAUUAAAGUUGUUGCAGUUAAAAAGCUCGUAGUUGAAUUUCGGGAUUAGUACGCUGGUCGUGCCUUCGGUACGUACUGGUGUUACUGAUUUCUACCUUCUGACGAACCAUCAUGUCAUUAAUUUGGUGUGGUGGGGAAUCAGGACUGUUACUUUGAAAAAAUUAGAGUGUUUAAAGCAGGCUCACGCUUGAAUACAUUAGCAUGGAAUAAUGAAAUAGGACGUUGAUCCUAUUUUGUUGGUUUCUAGGAUUGACGUAAUGAUUAAUAGGGAUAGUUGGGGGCAUUAGUAUUCAAUUGUCAGAGGUGAAAUUCUUGGAUUUAUUGAAGACUAACUACUGCGAAAGCAUUUGCCAAGGAUGUUUUCAUUAAUCAAGAACGAAAGUUAGGGGAUCGAAGACGAUCAGAUACCGUCGUAGUCUUAWCCAUAAACUAUGCCGACUAGGGAUCGGAUGAUGUUAUUUUUAAUGACUCAUUCGGCGCCUUACGGGAAAC
This 546-nucleotide ribosomal RNA is filed under the name uncultured Glomeromycotina. RNAcentral's name for it is "SSU rRNA". It matches the Rfam family "Eukaryotic small subunit ribosomal RNA", at positions 550 to 1109 of the family's 1831-position model. Lineage: Eukaryota; Fungi; Glomeromycota. The record is from RNAcentral.